RNAcentral lists this ribosomal RNA (385 nucleotides) under uncultured bacterium. RNAcentral's name for it is "bacterial SSU rRNA". It matches the Rfam family "Bacterial small subunit ribosomal RNA", at positions 355 to 731 of the family's 1533-position model. The record is from RNAcentral.
UGGGGAAUCUUCCGCAAUGGACGAAAGUCUGACGGAGCAACGCCGCGUGUAUGACGAAGGCCUUCGGGUUGUAAAGUACUGUCUUUGGGGACGAACGAUACUUAUGAAAAUAUUGUAGGUAUGUGACGGUACCCAAGGAGGAAGCCCCGGCUAACUACGUGCCAGCAGCCGCGGUAAUACGUAGGGGGCAAGCGUUGUCCGGAAUCAUUGGGCGUAAAGGGCGCGUAGGCGGACGUUUAAGUCUGGUGUGAAAGACUGGGGCUCAACCCCAGGGUUGCAUCGGAAACUGGGCGUCUUGAGGACAGGAGAGGAAAGCGGAAUUCCACGUGUAGCGGUGAAAUGCGUAGAUAUGUGGAGGAACACCAGUGGCGAAGGCGGCUUUCUG